GACGAACGCUGGCGGCGUGCUUAACACAUGCAAGUCGAACGGAAAGGCCCUGCUUUUGUGGGGUGCUCGAGUGGCGAACGGGUGAGUAACACGUGUGUAACCUGCCCUUGACUUUGGGAUAACUUCGGGAAACUGGGGCUAAUACCGGCUAGGAGCUCCUGCUGCAUGGUGGGGGUUGGAUAGUUUCGGCGGUUGGGGAUGGACUCGCGGCUUAUCAGCUUGUUGGUGGGGUAGUGGCUUACCAAGGCUUUGACGGGUAGCCGGCCUGAGAGGGUGACCGGCCACAUUGGGACUGAGAGACGGCCCAGACUCCUACGGGAGGCAGCAGUGGGGAAUAUUGCAAAAUGGGCGGAAGCCUGAUGCAGCAACGCCGCGUGCGGGAUGACGGCCUUCGGGUUGUAAACCGCUUUCGCCUGUGACGAAGCGUGAGUGACGGUAAUGGGUAAAGAAGCACCGGCUAACUACGUG
RNAcentral lists this ribosomal RNA (468 nucleotides) under uncultured bacterium. RNAcentral describes it as "partial 16S ribosomal RNA". It matches the Rfam family "Bacterial small subunit ribosomal RNA", at positions 28 to 507 of the family's 1533-position model. The record is from RNAcentral.